Molecule: non-coding RNA, 116 nt
Filed under: Elusimicrobiota bacterium
Lineage: Bacteria; Pseudomonadati; Elusimicrobiota
Description: Elusimicrobia bacterium c-di-GMP sequence
Rfam family: c-di-GMP-I riboswitch aptamer
About the family: GEMM was predicted in a large-scale screen for bacterial structured RNA regulatory elements. Genes associated with GEMM are involved in a diverse array of functions, including chemotaxis regulation, signal transduction, secretion and chitin.
Source: RNAcentral
GACCGAUAAAGGCAAACUCCGAGAAAUCGGAGGACGCAAAGCCCCCCGCAAGGGGCUCCGCUGGUCGCGGAGACGGGACUUAACCUCGAGAGAGGAAAGUCGGCCGGGUUGCCGAA